UUAUUGACUUUUUAUAAUAAGUUUUUUCUGCCCGGUGGUGUUUUUUAACGGCCGCGGUAUUUUGACCGUGCAAAGGUAGCAUAAUCAUUUGUCCUUUAAUUGGGGGCUAGAAUGAAAGAAAGUUUGAAGCUUUUUCUGUCUCUUUUUUAUUUUUGUAAUUUGCUGUUCUUGUGAAGAAGCAAGAGUUGUUAAAAAAGACAAGAAGACCCUAUUAAGCUUUAUUUUUUGUUUUUAUUCGUUUGAAUAUAAAAACAAAAAGAUUUGGUUGGGGUGACUAAAGAAGAAAAAUUUAUCUUCUUUUUUUAAAAAUAACUAUUUGUUUAACAGAGACCCAAAAUUUUUUGGUUGUAAGAAUUAGUUACUAUAGGGAUAACAGCGUUAUCUUUUCAUAAAGUUCUUAUUGAAGAAAAGGAUUGCGACCUCGAUGUUGACUUACUUUAUCCUAUAAAGGUGUAGCAGCUGUGAGGGUUGGUCUGUUCGANCAU
RNAcentral lists this ribosomal RNA (485 nucleotides) under Lineus viridis. RNAcentral's name for it is "partial 16S ribosomal RNA". It matches the Rfam family "Bacterial large subunit ribosomal RNA", at positions 1832 to 2588 of the family's 2925-position model. Lineage: Eukaryota; Metazoa; Nemertea; Pilidiophora; Heteronemertea; Lineidae. The record is from RNAcentral.